GUGCAAGUCUCUGAAGCAAGAAAAUCAUGGCACAUUCGGGAAAGAAUGAAACUUCAUGGAAAAUUUAGCGCAAGACUUGCCGACUCUCUCUAUGGCCACCUUGUCAUCAUUCUUGAUAACUUCACCAGACCUAUAUAUACCCAUCCAGUUGCUCAGCCUCUAGUCUCUUCACUUCCAAUCACUGUACAAAAAGGCAGAGUGAGGGAGAAUUCGUUCUCUCUGGCUGUCUUAGAGCUAGGAUGUCAGUCUUCUCCUACUUUUGGACACGGACUGAAACUGUAUCAUCAGUUCUCAUGGUUCUCAGGCCUUCAGACAAGACUGGAACUACACCUUCGGCUCUCCUGGGUCUUCAGCUGGCCAAGUGCAGAUCUGGGGGCUUCUCAGCCUCCAUAACUGUUUGCAGGUCCUUCUAGUUGUGGGAUGUGGGACGCCGCCUCAACGUGGCCUGACGCGCAGUGCCAUGUCCGCG
This 469-nucleotide long non-coding RNA is filed under the name Equus caballus (horse). Its description in RNAcentral is "lncRNA (ENSECAG00000048658.1)". Lineage: Eukaryota; Metazoa; Chordata; Mammalia; Perissodactyla; Equidae. The record is from RNAcentral.